UUCCACUACCGACAUCAAACGUUUACACAUUUAAAAUCUAACUGUUCCCGAUGAUCAACGGACAUGAUCCAAAGGAAUUUUGAAACCAGUAACCGGAAGUUUUAAUUAUUGCCAUGCUGUAAACAAAGACAAAGGAAACGUACAAAAUAAAGAAUAACCUUAUCAUGCGUUAAAACUGGUAAGAUAUGACACUAGUUCACAUUUAUAAAUCAUUGUUAUGCUUCUAAAAUAUAUCUUGGUUAAUUUGUUUAAUAUAUUCAAACAAUAAAUACGAGUGUAAGCAAGUAUAAUACAAAAAGGGGGAUGAUGAUAAUUUAGUCUGCCUUGAUGUUGUGAUGUGUAUGUCCAGUGAACAUUAGAAUUAUACAAACAGGGUUAAACUUAAGGUUUUUUUAUAUUAUUUUAAAGUCUAUAAAUGCAAUCACUUGUAACCACUGAGCAUGUCUGAAAAGUUCUGUUAUAAGCAUUACAAGUCAGCCCAUUAUUUGCUUUAACAGACAGGGCAAUACUUUAUUUGCUCCAUCGCUGGCUACACAUCUACUUAUCAAGGGAAUCUCAAAUACGCAAUGAUUAUCAAAGCUUUUGCUAUUUGACAAAGCGAGUGUUGUUGCCUCUAUAAUAUAUUGUUUUAUGUUUUUGUAACUUGUACUUUUGUGUUGAGCCCUACAAGUAACAACCUAUCACCCAGCCAGAUAAUUAUUUAUGUGCCGAUCCAAAGACAGGAGUUUGAUUCAGUAGUUGCCGGUUCAUUUCUGACAAAUUUGUUUUUUCGUUAAACUUUAUAAAUUAUGCCAUUCCUUUCAUUGUUAGAAUUGUUUAAAUUAUACGACUUUACAGGACGUAUUAUGGUAAUGUAUACUGUGUCCGUCUGUCGGUCGGCCUGUUCGUUCCUCUAUCUGUUGCGUCAACAUGUCCGACACUAACUCAAAAAAGCUUUAACCAAUUUGAAUAACACUGGAUUGUUUAUAUACAUGGAGCAGCUGUUCACUUUUAAAUGUUGUGGCCUUUGUAGCUGACUAUUACACUGUGACUUUUUCUAACUUAUAUUUUAUUCAUUUGUUUAUUUUAACUUUUGUAGGAUCAAUUAGACGUUCCAAAAUUUAUGAUAAAUUUUCUGAAAUGCAGAUUAAAAUGGAGAAUGGAAAUGGGGAUUUUAAAGAAGAAUAUAAGCUUAGAAAUGACUACAAAUAUCCUGGAAGAGCAAAUUUUUUGAAGGUAUUUAUUAUUUUAAAUCCUCAAUCUACAUUACAUGUAUUUGCACAAAAAUAUACAAUAACCAUUACAAAAUAUUUUUUUUAUGGAAGACCAAGAAAAUGUUACAGGUUCUUCAUGGCUGGCUACUCUUUAUAGUUGAGAAAACUAUAGUGUCUUAUUUUAAAAACUGGUGAAAUCUACCGUUACACUUGUUUAAUAAUAAAAAAAAACCUCUAGAUGUUUAAAAUAGCUACAAUUGUUGCUUCACAAUCAAUUAACACUGAUAAGUUGACACUUUUCAAUAUAUUUUUGUAAAACCGCUGGAUUUAAUGAAGAGAAAUAGUUUAUAGUGUAAUUUUGAUUAAAUUAACUGAAAUUUCAGCCACUUGUUUAAUCACUAAACUGAAGGACUAAUUUGCUUACACUUUAUUUUACAGAAGCCAGCAGAUGUCAAAGGAAAUAAAAAGAAUGGAACAAAGGAAACUUUGAAAAAGAACAGUGAUAUGAAAAUAUUGAAUAAAUGUUUUGCAUUUAUAAUUGUAGUUCUAUCUUGUAUAGUGUUGACUAAUUACUUAUAAGGUAGCAGAGAAAACAGUUAAAAAAACUAUGCAGAAGCAGAAAAAUGUCUGAGGGUACCUGUGAUCAAACAUGAGAUCAAGAAAUACUUUUAAAAAAAA
Molecule: long non-coding RNA, 1871 nt
Filed under: Mytilus galloprovincialis (Mediterranean mussel)
Lineage: Eukaryota; Metazoa; Mollusca; Bivalvia; Mytilida; Mytilidae
Source: RNAcentral